RNAcentral lists this long non-coding RNA (379 nucleotides) under Ananas comosus (pineapple). Its description in RNAcentral is "long non-coding RNA (ACOM_LNC006803)". The record is from RNAcentral. Lineage: Eukaryota; Viridiplantae; Streptophyta; Magnoliopsida; Poales; Bromeliaceae.
CAAUUAUGAAGCCGUUAUUCAAUUUCUUUAGUACUUAGGCUUCAUUUGGGAUUGUGGAAAAAUUACGUUACGUGCGGUCGGAAAGGACAAAAGAAACAUAUUCUGUUUAUUUCCGUACAUAAUAUUGCGUUCCGCAUAUUGCGAUUAGCUGGUUACGAUAUAUUUUCUACUGUUCCAUCGGAGAAUGCAGAAGUAUAUCCUUAUACAUUUUUUUCUCAACUCCAUUUAAUUUAAUAGCGUUAGAUAGACCUCAAUACCAAACUAAGUCUUAAAAAUAUCAAAGUUAUUUUGCUGACAGAAACAUGUCGUCAAAACUAUAACAAUUUUACUAAAUAGCGUGUAAAAAGAAAAAAAAAGUAAGAUAAUAAUUUAAGAAGAG